ACAUUACAAACAUUUUCCUAUUUGAUUCUCACAGUUGUGGAAAGGAAACUAGACUAACAGUUUGUGUGGGGGAAGGGCCAACUGGGAGUGGCAGUUGGGUCUUGUGACUAGCACUUCCUUCCUGCGGUGUAGGACUUGCGUCCUGGUGUUGGAGGAGAGAGGAGCUUGUUCAGCCCAGUCUGGAGUGGCAUGCUCUUCUUGGUUCAGCCCGAAGACACAGGCUUCUGAAGAUGAGAAAAUUAAAGAGAUUAAAUGAUUUGCCCAUGGGGCAGGAUUUGAACUCCCAUUACACCUCAACUGUCAGUCAAUCAGUAAGUAUUUGUUAAACUCCUAUUGUGUACCCAAGGUUGUAUGAGUGUUCAAGGAGGACUAG
This 373-nucleotide long non-coding RNA is filed under the name Monodelphis domestica (gray short-tailed opossum). Its description in RNAcentral is "lncRNA (ENSMODG00000039797.1)". Lineage: Eukaryota; Metazoa; Chordata; Mammalia; Didelphimorphia; Didelphidae. The record is from RNAcentral.